AACGAACGCUGGCGGCAGGCCUAACACAUGCAAGUCGAGCGAGGACUUCGGUCCUAGCGGCGGACGGGUGAGUAACGCGUGGGAACGUACCCUUUGCUACGGAAUAGCCCCGGGAAACUGGGAGUAAUACCGUAUGUGCCCUUUGGGGGAAAGAUUUAUCGGCAAAGGAUCGGCCCGCGUUGGAUUAGGUAGUUGGUGGGGUAAUGGCCUACCAAGCCGACGAUCCAUAGCUGGUUUGAGAGGAUGAUCAGCCACACUGGGACUGAGACACGGCCCAGACUCCUACGGGAGGCAGCAGUGGGGAAUCUUAGACAAUGGGCGCAAGCCUGAUCUAGCCAUGCCGCGUGAGCGAUGAAGGCCUUAGGGUUGUAAAGCUCUUUCAGGGGGGAAGAUAAUGACUGUACCCCCAGAAGAAGCCCCGGCUAACUCCGUGCCAGCAGCCGCGGUAA
Molecule: ribosomal RNA, 449 nt
Filed under: uncultured bacterium
Lineage: Bacteria
Description: partial 16S ribosomal RNA
Rfam family: Bacterial small subunit ribosomal RNA
Source: RNAcentral